GGGGAAUAUUGCACAAUGGGCGCAAGCCUGAUGCAGCGACGCCGCGUGAGGGAUGACGGCCUUCGGGUUGUAAACCUCUUUCACCAGGGACGAAGCGUGAGUGACGGUACCUGGAGAAGAAGCACCGGCCAACUACGUGCCAGCAGCCGCGGUAAUACGUAGGGUGCGAGCGUUGUCCGGAAUUACUGGGCGUAAAGAGCUCGUAGGCGGUUUGUCGCGUCGUCUGUGAAAUUCUGCAACUCAAUUGUAGGCGUGCAGGCGAUACGGGCAGACUUGAGUACUACAGGGGAGACUGGAAUUCCUGGUGUAGCGGUGAAAUGCGCAGAUAUCAGGAGGAACACCGGUGGCGAAGGCGGGUCUCUGGGUAGUAACUGACGCUGAGGAGCGAAAGCGUGGGGAGCGAAC
RNAcentral lists this ribosomal RNA (405 nucleotides) under uncultured bacterium. Its description in RNAcentral is "bacterial SSU rRNA". It matches the Rfam family "Bacterial small subunit ribosomal RNA", at positions 356 to 773 of the family's 1533-position model. The record is from RNAcentral.